Molecule: long non-coding RNA, 1096 nt
Organism: Mytilus trossulus (common blue mussel)
Lineage: Eukaryota; Metazoa; Mollusca; Bivalvia; Mytilida; Mytilidae
Exons: 3
Source: RefSeq, a predicted model, not a curated record
CGGAUGCGCGCGCAUUCUGACUGAUUAGACAAGAAGGACGAUCAGCCAUUGUUUACAAGCGUGGUGCAAAAUAAUAAGAUAUGUGGCUUAUUAAGACGUUUUUAUAUCAAAAUGACUCUCCGAAAGAAAUCCCGUUUGGGACGACCGAAAAAGAACAGCCAUCAGAAAAAAGAACCAAAGCAUAAAAUUGAAUGCCAAAGAGGAAAAGAUGUAGAAAUUAACAAAUGGAGUUAAAAAGAGAGUAAUCCUCGACAAUGAACAGCUGUUGGUACCAGUAUGGAGGAGACAUCUGUUCCAGUUUCAAUCCACACUGAAGAUGGAAAGAGAAUGAAAAAAUAUGAACGCUUAAAUUUGAUUGUCAUGCUGUUUCUUUUUCUAGCACCAGUGAAAGGCACAGAGCAACUGAUUGCACAAGAAAUUGAGAUAUUUGCAGUGAAUGAGACACACAAUAAAGAUGAAGAAUCUUGCCAUCUCCCUUUCACUGUAUGCAAUUUAUUACAAGUUAUCAUCGCUGAUACAUGUAUAUAUCCUUAGCUGUACAGAUACCAAAAUUUGCAUAACCCAGAUCAGUUGCAGGGAAAUUAUCAUAAAACUCUCAGUUAUCAUUGACAGUAACAUUAUGAAUAAAUGUUUGAUAAUAAAAAUAUUAUUUAUACCUGGAAUUGAUUUUGUUCUCUCUCAUUUUGGUUUAGUUAUUGAAAAAGGAUGGAAUAAUGUGUAGUGAUAUUUUAGAUAUAUUGUAUACAUUAAUACAUGUACAAGUUCUGAUUCUCAGUCUGACUGGUCCUUUUCAUUUUAGAAUACUGGGAUGUAUGUAGGUGUCUUUUUACAGAUGUAAUUUGGUUUAUUCAAACGCCACACCACAUUUAUUGGUUUAUAGGUUUUAUUGAUAUGAUUACUGUGGGGGAAAAACAACAAACAUGAUCAUAAAAUUGUACGGCUUGUGAUUAUGGUUAAAUCUAUUAUCAUGCCUUUAUUAUGUAUGUGCUUUCCCAAAGUAAGGAGCCUGUAAUUCACUGGUGUGUUGCUGUAUACAUCAUAUUUGGAUUUUUUUCUUAUUAUUUUGUUCAUAAAUAAGACAGUGAGUUUUCUUGUU